This 265-nucleotide ribosomal RNA is filed under the name uncultured bacterium. RNAcentral's name for it is "partial 16S ribosomal RNA". It matches the Rfam family "Bacterial small subunit ribosomal RNA", at positions 88 to 354 of the family's 1533-position model. The record is from RNAcentral.
CCGGCGACCGGCGCACGGGUGAGUAACACGUAUGCAACCUGCCCUCUUCAGGGGGACAACCUUCCGAAAGGGAGGCUAAUCCCGCGUAUAUCGGUUUCGGGCAUCCAAGAUCGAGGAAAGAUUCAUCGGAAGAGGAUGGGCAUGCGGCGCAUUAGCUAGACGGCGGGGUAACGGCCCACCGUGGCGACGAUGCGUAGGGGUUCUGAGAGGAAGGUCCCCCACACUGGUACUGAGACACGGACCAGACUCCUACGGGAGGCAGCAG